RNAcentral lists this ribosomal RNA (252 nucleotides) under uncultured bacterium. RNAcentral's name for it is "partial 16S ribosomal RNA". It matches the Rfam family "Bacterial small subunit ribosomal RNA", at positions 524 to 776 of the family's 1533-position model. The record is from RNAcentral.
UACGGGGGAGCAAGCGUUGUUCGGAUUUACUGGGCGUAAAGGGCGCGUAGGCGGUGCGGUAAGUCACCUGUGAAAUCUCCUGGCUCAACUGGGAGCUUGCAGGCGAAACUGCCGUGCUGGAGUGUGGGAGAGGUGCGUGGAAUUCCUGGUGUAGCGGUGAAAUGCGUAGAUAUCAGGAGGAACACCUGUGGCGAAAGCGGCGCACUGGACCACAACUGACGCUGAGGCGCGAAAGCUAGGGGAGCAAACAGG